UGAGUCAGUAGUGAAUCAUCGAAUCUUUGAACGCACUUUGCACCUUGUGGCUCUUGUCACAAGGUAUACUUGUUUGAGUAUCCACAACAUCCUCACCUCCCCUUCGGGGCGAAGUGGACCUGAGAUUCGAUGGAUGGGAUGGAUGAUGAUGAUGGCGGCUCCUAACAUGGCCGCCGUCGUCGUCGUCGUCGUCGUCGUUGUCGUCUCUUUAAAUGCAGGCCUGGAUGGCGUGUCUUUGCCGGACGGUGCUCCUCCCCUCUCCUCUGCGGAGGGGCGGGGGAGAAUCGGUGGUUAUUGGGAUAACAUCCUAACAAUAGUCAUGAAGCAUUGACACGCUUGGUCACCUUGUCGGAGCCUCCUUUCCUGUCGGAAGGAGAGGCGCAAGACACACACACGCCAUUCGUGGUGUGACGAAAAUGGAUCUCAAAUCAAGUAGGGUACCCGCUGAACUUAAGCAUAUCAAUAAGCGGAGG
Molecule: ribosomal RNA, 473 nt
Filed under: uncultured eukaryote
Lineage: Eukaryota
Description: eukaryotic LSU rRNA
Rfam family: 5.8S ribosomal RNA (bases 1-83)
Source: RNAcentral